GCUGCGGUAGCUCAGUGGUAGAGCGGAGGAUUGCAGUUGAUCGACUAUCCUCAGGUCCUGUGUUCGAACCACAGUCGCAGCU
This 82-nucleotide transfer RNA is filed under the name Blumeria hordei DH14. RNAcentral describes it as "tRNA-Cys for anticodon GCA". It matches the Rfam family "tRNA". From Rfam's summary of the family: Transfer RNA (tRNA) molecules are approximately 80 nucleotides in length. Lineage: Eukaryota; Fungi; Ascomycota; Leotiomycetes; Helotiales; Erysiphaceae. RNAcentral also lists the same sequence under 1 other name. The record is from Rfam by way of RNAcentral.